GGUCUACAAAGAGGCAGGCAUUAUUUCACAGUUCUGUCCAUGAAAGGCAGACGGUCAGUGUUCUCCGGGGACGAAUUUCUGCCUCUUUGGGUGCAGAAGGAAGCUAAGGCAGCCCACGAUGACAACUCGUGCUAACUCUUGCCGAGUUUGGCACUGGGAAGUCGGUGACUGCAGGGCCACCUGGACGCCUACGCAUGGAACAUCCUGAGCAAGGCUGGUGCUUGGCCCAGAAGUCCUCGGUGCCCCGCUAAUAGAUGCCAGCCCCUUUCCACCGCCCAUCUGUGGUCGGAAAGAGGUGUGGGUGGCAUGAAGGACACAUGAGUCUGAUGGUGCCACCAACGUAAACUGUGAUCUUUGUGUACAAUCCUGAACACCAUGACCUUUUUAAGGUUGUAAAAGCAGCUAAGUGGCUUAAAAUCUAAAAUGAAAGAAUGAAAUGGAGCAGACUAGAAAUUGUGUCAAAGGACAGAAAACACAGUUUUAUAGCACUGUGCCUCGAGCGUCUCUGCCCCUGGGCGUACGCCUACCUCCAGACCCUCAGAAUGAUUCAGGAGCUGGCUUUAUGUGGGCGGCUCCACCCCAGUUUGGUGAUGGUGGGAACAGAAGUGAGGUGGGGAGGCCAGACGGAGCAGAGGGUGACACGUUACACGGGAGUCAGGGAAUCAGGCCUGACUCAGCAAGAGGACCCUCAUCCUCCAGGUGUGUCUUCAGUACGUCCCCGUGAAGUCACCUUGCCCUGGAGAAGUCCCUGUGCCAAGAGGGAGCCGGCUGUCUGCCGUGACAAGCUUUCCAAGCAGCUGCUACUCCUGUCUGACAGUGACUGUACCACAGAAGCAGCAGGCAGGCCUGCUGGGCAGGUCCACCCCGCCUGAGCACAGGUCACCGGUGGGCCACGCUGCACGGAGGGGCCCUGUGACCCAGGGUGUCACCUGCUCUGCCGUCAUGCAGAGGAGACAGGGGGAGAGAGACAGAGGCCCUGAGCCCGGAGCUCACUGUCCCCUGCUGUCACCAGUGCUGCACUUGGGAGAUGCUGAGGAGCCUUGGCCAGAGGUCCCUGCCGCAGCCAGACCAAAAACCCCGGGGCCAGUGCAGCAGAGACACUGUGCUGAGAAGCAGGGUGUGAGCACAGAGCUCCCGGAGCCUCACUUGCCAGCAGGUCCCUGGGCCCGGUCCCUCUACCUCAGUGAGCAGUGGUGGCGGGACCGGCUUCUGUCCCCUGCCUGUGGCUGACUGUGUAUGGCGGAGGGGUGGAAAUCACCCCAAGCACAGGCCUCCCCUGAUGGCUCAGUCCUGUUUAGGUGUGAGAGUGCUGGUCCCUUGCUGGACUGGGCCCUGCCCCUCAUCUGCCAGGAAGGAGGCUGACUUUCUGCCCUGUGCUGCUUCACUGAAAUCAGAAGGGACAUUUCAAAUAGUGUAUUUUAAAAUCUUGCAUUAACUUCCAUUUGAUUAGGCCAAAAUCAAGGGGAGACUCUUCUGUUGGAUUUUAUUUUGUGCUAGCACAAAUGUAUUUUUUUUCUUUUUAUCAGUGCCAGGGAUCGAACUCAGGACGGCCUGCUUGCAAGGCAGGCGUUUAUGCCUCUGAGCUAACUCCCCAGCCCACAAAUGUAUUUUUAAAACUUUAACCACUUAGCCAUCAGCUAUAUAAACGUUAGCCUGGGUAUAAGAUGAAACCUUAUGUGAUUAGUCAAAUCUCCACCCAGAGCCAUCUGUUUCCUGAAGAUAACUGUUUUAUUUAGAAGUUGUUAAAGAAAGAAGUUGUUUUAGUCUUUCAGUCUAAGAUGUGAAGGAAAACGCGUUUAUGCUUUGAGCUUUCUUCAGCCUGGAGCAACUUAUUUUACACAUACUUGUCCACCGUCCCUUUUUGCACUUAACGUACUCUCCAGAUGACACCACACGGUGCUCCCUGCGCACGGCUGGGGUUGUGGGGCAUCUCUUCAGGGGUGAGCCCCGGUAAGGGCCACCUGAGCUGCUUACAGUCUCGUCCCAGCUCACAGCGCUGCACUGACUACCUUUCGGCUCAUGCCCUCUCCUGAGAACUCUACUUUCACUGUAUAGCGAUCGCAAGUGGGAUUACUGGGUCAAAUACACGUGUAACCUUCGGGGUGCACGGCCCUCCUUGCCAGCCUUCCUGGCUGCAGGCCGCUGCCCCUCCUGCAGGGAAGGUGCCCUUGACCUCAGCUCACCGCCUCCCUAAGGACACCGUGGAGUUACAAGGCCUCGGGAUCCUCUGGUCACCCUGAAGGAGAAAUCUGUCUGCUGUAAGCGAUGUCUGCCCAGGGGAUGACCACAGUCCUUUCUGCCCUCUGGGGGCUCCCACCUCCGGCUCCCCGCUCCCUCCUGGCUGUCCAGGCUCUGCACAGCCCUCCUCUCCCCCUCACCCCUCCCAUAGCGGACUCCACACUGUAAUCUGUGGCACAGAUCCCACCCCCUGUGUAGGUUACAGUCCCUACCUGACAAAGCUGGACCAGGUAACUAAAAUUGCAAACUGCCAUUUUUGAAUCACUGGUGUUGAUUUGAGCUGAGUUUUUGUUUUGCUUUGUUUGGUUUUUGGUCUCUGACACAGGGUCUCACUGUGCAGUUCAGGCUGGCCUUAAACUCACUUUGUAGCCCAGGCUGGCCUGCAACUUGCUCCCACCCUCCUGCCUCGGCCUCCGGAGUGCUGGGAUGAGAGACAAGGGCCAGCAUACAUGGCUUUCAGCUCAUUUUUCUGCCACAAACUCUGCAAAAGCUAUAACACCAUCUCCAGGACUCACAGCUUACAAUAUGCCAGCUUCUCUCAGCCGCCAUAGACAAAUCAAAGCUUGCUGCUUCUCCUGGACGUGCUCGCUUUCUUACUCAUGCUGUCUACAAAAAGUCUGCUGUCCUGUUUGCCACCACCUUCCUCCCAGAAACAGCUGCUGCCCAGACACCAGCUGCAGACACAAAACAGCAAAAGCUCGCCUCCUUCUCUUGCAGGAAAACUCUCACCAAACCAAACCCAAAGGAAGACCCUUUGCACCCAAGGAGAGAAGAGGGCGCCAUGUAAGCUUUACACCAGCAGACUGUUGGAUCUUCACAGCAGCUACGGGAUAAUUCCUCAACGGCAACAGGGCUGAGUUAGGGAGAGUCAGUUUACAUGCAAUUUAGAAGUGGGAGGUUUAAAACAAGUGACAAAGCGUUACAUAGCUACUUUGGUGCAUUGAGGCCUAUAUUGGCAGGCAGGCUGGUCUGGAAACAAAGCAAUUGUUCAUCAUGUUACAGAGUCACUGGGGCACUGGGGAUCAGCCCUUACAGAGUGAGCACAGGGAAGUCAUUACCAUGACAUGGAGCAUUCCGGGGAGGGCCCUUGGGUUAGUCCAGGGCGCCUUAAGGUACACAAAUUACUCUGACUCAGCGCUCAUCAGAGGUGCGCAGCUGGGCUUGGACACCGUCAAGGUCAGUUGAAUUCAGCAGAAACAGGAGGACACAGAAAAGCGGUCAGAGAUUUCUAAUUGAUCAUGAAAUAUCUAUAAGUUUGAUGUCUUAUAAAUGUGUUUCUACAUGAUAAUUGUGGCCGAACACAUCCUCUUCUAAUUUUGCAAAGGAAGGAGUGACUGGCUGGUGACCGCAGAACACAGGCAGCAGUCUGUGUACAAUCCAGAGCAGGAGAAGCUCAGUGGGGUGCACAGGGCCCCAGGAUUCCCCAGGACAGGGAGCAGUGCAAUUUAGGUCCUGACACUGUGGAAUGUGCUGAGCAGCCUUUUCCCUGAGACAGCCUGCAGCUUGUCAGUGUGAGUGGACAGGAAGAGGGGCAGCAUGUGGAGCAGCACCCCAGUGGGCACCCCGUUGUACUGCAAAUGGACAUCGUGUGAACUUCUCCGAUCUUAUUCUCGGGGAAUACGUGAUGGGGUUGCGGGAGAUGGAUUUUCUCAGAACGAGAACAAGAACAGUUAUUGGGCAGCCUCGGAGGGAGAUGAUCUGACUUAUCGGAAAGAUUCAUCACCCUCAGCAGACAGCAGAUGGGGAGACUGGAGGUUUGCCUUGAUGUCCUCCACGGAUACAUGCAAAGUCUUGGCCACCUUUUCUAGUGACGCAUCAUCCAGCCUGAAGUCAGACCUGUACUGGACUAAGCUGUCUUCCACCCUCUCUAUGUCUUUGUCACUGAUGUGACCCGUGAAGGGCUUGGUGGCUACAGCUCCAAACUUCAGAGCCUGCAUAAACAUCAUCUGCUUCAGGGCAUCUGUCUUCCGAUCGAUGGCAGCUUCGGUGACACUGGGCAGGCACUGCAUGAGGACAUGGCGCUUCUGAGCAGGCACGUCCAUCACAAGGGUGCUCCUCAGCUCAGGGAAGUCAUAUUCACGCAGAUGAAGGCUGGAAAUUAAGAAUAUUUUACUGGCUGUCACUUGUGCCUCCCACAAUUUUUUCUCACAGUCACGGGAUAUCUCUCGGAGGAUGUUGUCCUUAUUAAAGUUUGUAGGCUUAGCGAUUUCCUCACUGGCUAACUCAGUAUCAAUUUUUGUCCUAACAAAAUAGAAGUUCUUCUUCAUUUUUGCAAUCGGUUUGGCCAACUGUGCAUCAUUGUCUUUGAAGUGGGCAGAAGAAACGAUCAGGAAAAAGUCAUAUUCAGCGAACUUGACUUUGUGCAGGUAAGUUUCUGGAGGGCAGUUGGUGGUCCGCAGGCCAGGCAGGUCCCAUACUGACACACUGGGAAACCUUUAGUUGUUUGUAUUCAGUUCUCUCCAUGAUGGUCUCGGUUGGCCCAGUUUGAGCAGAACCUUCCUCUUCAUUCCCCAUGUCCCGCAGGGCAUUGAUCAGACUGGACUUUCCUGUUCCUCUCUCCCCUGUCACUGCAAUGCUCAGUGGAGCAUUUUCGAUGUCUUUCAAAGCAGAGCUAACUAUAGAAACUGCUUUUGGAAUGUCCCCCUUCUCCAGAAAGUACUGAAUCAACACCCUGGCUUCCUCUGAGAGGACUUUGCUUUCCUGCUUGAAAUUUUUAAAAUACUCGCUGAAGCUGGAGGCUAAGGUCUUGCUCUCUGUGCUGGAGUCUGCGGAAAACAGUUGACCCAUGGCUGUGAGCAGUCCAGGACUCUAGAAAAAGGGUUGUGUACUCUAGACACAGUGGGAAGGUCAAGGUGGGCACAGCGGGAAGACCACAGCUUUCCUGUCAGGAUGCGGCAGCACCUCAGUCCAGGUUCCACACUGUGGCUGGGAAGGGCUUCCUCGAGGUGUGACCAGGACACCUGGCUUGGGUGCAGUCACCCCUUCUGCAGACUCUUUCUUUGUCUUGGAGUUCCCUGCACCUUAAAGAGUUUCCUCAUGAAUUUAAUAUCUGAUUUUCCGUUCAAGCACUCAUGGCCUUUUACGUUUUGUUCAGUUUGCUUUAGUUAUUUCUGUUUUCAGGAAAUUAACUUGUUACUAUGGCAGCCCAUCUACAAAGGCAGCAGUAGACCUGGCAUCAAACCACUACACAACAGUAUCUGGUUUCAAGACUACAAAGCUAUCGUCAUCAAGACAGUGCAAAGCUCAUAGAGAACAGGCAGACAGAGCAAGGGGCCACAGUCAAAUCCAGACCGAGAGCCCCAUAAACGUACUCCCCUGAUCUUAGUCUAAUCGUCGCAGCAAUACAAUGAAGCAAGGAUGUUCCUUCAGAAAAAGUUCUGAUGGAUCAGAUAGCCUUGCAUGCACUGUCACAAAAUUAAGGUGCGUUACAGACUUGAGUGUAACAAACAAACAAACAAACAAAGAGAAAUCCAGUGACCUGAAGAAUGGAGAUGAUUUUUAGAUAUACCAUAAAGUCCAUUCAUGAAAGAUAUCAUUGGUAAUGUGGACUGCCUUAAAAUAAAAAAUUAUGGAAUAUAGUAUCAAGAGAAUCAAGGGACAAAUCCACAGACUUGCGUAAAAAUAUUUGUGAGAGCGUUGGGAGUGGUAGCACGUGCCUGAAACCCUGGCGCUGGGUGGGGACGAGGGCGGUGGGGGAGGCUGAGGCCUAAAGAGCACAAGGACUGGAGCCGCCUGGGAAACUCAGCAAGGCCCUUUCUCAAAACAAUUAAAAAGGACUGGAAAGCAGCGUGGUGCAAGGGCUCUGGGUUCCAGUCUCUAAAUUACAAAAGCUCAUCUGAUGAAGAACUAUGGUACAAAAUGCACAAAGAUCUUUGAAAUGGAAAAAUAAGAAAAUGAACAACAUGAAUAAAAGCAGACUAAGGGUGAUAGCAGAGACCUCAUGAGAGAAGAUGUCCACAGAGAAAUGCAGCCCGGCCCUCACCGUGAGACACAUGCAAAAGAGAACAGUGAGGAGAAACCGCAGCCCAGCAGUCAGAGUGGCCGCAGCCCGGACCCUGACAGCAGCAAAUACUGGCCAGGAUGUGGGGCCACGGGAGGGAACCCACCCUGGUGGGCAUUCAGAAUGGUACGUCCGCUUUGCAAGAUGGCUUCGCAGUUUUGCAGAAAAGGAAAUACAGUUAGCAUUCAGACCUCUGAUAGUUACACAAAGUAGUUAAAAUUUUUGUUCACACAAAAACUUGUACACUGGUGUUUCUAGAAGCUUUUGCAGAAAGCUAAACCUUGAAAUCAGCAAGGCUUUUCUACAGUUACUAAACGGCUUAAUGGUUGGGGCCUGCUCUGGACAUGGGACUGCUGUUUAGUUACAGAGAGGAAGGAGUCAUUACACCACGAAUGGACUUGAAGGAAGCUAAAGCACGAAUGCAUGUUGGAAAAUGAAAGAAGCCAUGAGACUCCACGCUGUGCGGAGCCAAUUCCAUGCGGUUCUGGACAAGGCAGAAUAAUGGAAAAGCCUGAAAUCCCUUGGCUGUCAGGGACUGAGGGUGAUGGAAAGGCACACACAGAGGCCUUUCGGGCAGCCUCGCUGUUCACAGUGAUGCUAUCGGAGUGGACACCAGGCAUUGUUCGCUUCUCCAGCCCUUGACUGUACAACAGGAGCCAGCCCUGAAUUCUUGAUUUUAGGUGAUUAUGGCAUGUCAGUGUGGCUCAUCUGUUGUCACAAAUGCACCACUCUGCAGGACGGUGUGGAAAUGGGCAGACUAAGCACACGCAGAGAGAGCGGGUACACGGGUGUCCCUUCCCUUCUGUCUGAAACUGAAGCUGCUCUAAAGAAUAAAAUCAUACAAAGAAACUAGA
This is a long non-coding RNA of Cavia porcellus (domestic guinea pig), 7092 nucleotides long. RefSeq lists it as uncharacterized. The record is from RefSeq and is a predicted model, not a curated record. Lineage: Eukaryota; Metazoa; Chordata; Mammalia; Rodentia; Caviidae. The transcript is spliced from 2 exons.